RNAcentral lists this ribosomal RNA (452 nucleotides) under uncultured bacterium. RNAcentral describes it as "bacterial SSU rRNA". It matches the Rfam family "Bacterial small subunit ribosomal RNA", at positions 355 to 825 of the family's 1533-position model. The record is from RNAcentral.
UCAAGAAACUUCCACAAUGGGCGAAAGCCUGAUGGAGCGACGUCGCGUGAUGGACGAAGUGCUUCGGCACGUAAACAUCUUUUAUGUGGGAUGAAAUUAUUGACAGUACCACAUGAAUAAGGGGCUCCUAACUCUGUGCCAGCAGGAGCGGUAAUACAGAGGCCCCAAGCGUUAUCCGGAAUCACUGGGCGUAAAGGGUGUCGAGGCGGUUGUAUUAGUCGUUCGUAAAAUCUACGAGCUUAACUUGUAGGCGGCGAACGAAACGGUACGACUUGAGGUUUGGAGAGGUGCGUGGAACUCACGGUGUAGGGGUGAAAUCCGUUGAUAUCGUGGGGAACACCAAAGGCGAAGGCAGCGCACUGGCCAAAAUCUGACGCUCACACGGACGAAAGCUAGGGUAGCGAAGAGGAUUAGAUACCCAGGUAGUCCCUGAGCGGGCUGGCAAGGCGCAU